CAAAACUUUGAUGGCUUGAUCACAAGAUAACACUGUUGAAGGCAGAUCUGCACUGGGGAAUUCAGCACAAGUUAGAAGACCGUAAUGUCGGCAGUUCCUUUGAGAUGGGUCAACUCCGCAAUAUGUGAAACCUUCUGUGCACCCUAAUGGGAGAAAGGUACUGUAUCGGACCACAACCUCUGUCUCUCUCUCCCUUUACACUUGUUGUGAAGGCAUUAGAAAAUUUCUGUGUGUUAAUUGAAGUCUUUAAUUGUAGUUUGCAGAUAGUGAUUUUCUGUGGGGAGAUAAACAAUCACAGAGACAGCAACUCUCUAACAUUCUAACUAUGGAGACAAUGUGACAUGAUGAGGGGAGGUGUAAAAAGAACUCCUUCAACAUAAAUCUUCAGGAAAUGUAGCUCUUUCAGUUUUAGUAAACUAUAGGGGCUUUCUGUAUACUCUGCUGACUUUUCUAUCAAUACAGCAAGGAGGAACUACUUGUCAUGGCCUGAAGCAAAGAAAGCAGCCAAAGCCCGGCAAUGUUGGAAAACUUUAGUACAGGCCUUAGGUUCCUCCAGGAACAAAGAGGAUUAAUUAAAGGAGACUACCAUGCUAAUUUAUCUGUACAAACUCUCUCCUAUCGGAUUUAAAGGCUGCAUAUUCCACAGGUAUGCUUGAGUGGGAUGAUGGAAGAAGAUGGGAUGAGUGUUAUGUAUUGUAUAUUGUAUAUGUAUUUUUGAUGUGACAUCAAAAUCACAACAAUGGAAAUUGUGACUGACUAGUCAUUGUUGCUUACAAGCAGAAACAUGCAUAUGAAAUAAUUAUUUUAUCCAUAAAACCUACACAGUGUACAAAACAUUAGAAACACCUUCCUAAUAUUAAGUUGCACCCCUUUUUGCCCUCAGAAC
Coregonus clupeaformis (lake whitefish) is the source of this 886-nucleotide long non-coding RNA. RefSeq lists it as uncharacterized. The transcript has 3 exons. Lineage: Eukaryota; Metazoa; Chordata; Actinopteri; Salmoniformes; Salmonidae. The record is from RefSeq and is a predicted model, not a curated record.